AGAAAAAUCGGUGAUGGAGCUCACCUUUAAGCAUUGCAGGAUAUGCAAUUAAUGGCUCCUACUUGGCC
Molecule: non-coding RNA, 68 nt
Filed under: Geosporobacter ferrireducens
Lineage: Bacteria; Bacillati; Bacillota; Clostridia; Peptostreptococcales; Thermotaleaceae
Description: Fluoride sequence
Rfam family: Fluoride riboswitch aptamer (crcB RNA motif)
Source: Rfam by way of RNAcentral